GUGCUCCUGGGGGUCUGGGGGUCCCCAAAGUGCCAUCGGGGGGUCUGGGGGUCCCCAAAGUGCCCCCCCUGUGGGGUCUGGGGGAGGGCGAAGGUCCAAAGUGUCCCGUGUCCCAUCUGGCCCCUCCCAGGGCAGAGUCCGGGGCGGUGCCACCUGUGCCAGGUGUGUCCCCUGUGCCAGGUGUGUCCCCUGUGCCGGGUGUGUCCCCUGGGCCAGGUGUGUCACACCCCCCUCCCCGUUUCCUGUGUCCGGAGGGGGGGUCAAAGUCCACCCCCCCCCCCUGGGAGGGGCCGGAAUUGGGGGGGCCCCCACGUGGGGGGGGUAUAAAGGUCCCCCUUCAGUGUCACCGCUGUCACCAGUGCCACCAGUGCCACCAGUGUCACCAGUGCCAGCAGCCAUGGCCUUUGUCCCCGCGCCCGGGUACAUGCCCGCCUACAACCCGCCCCUGCCCUACGUGGCCCCGGUGCCCCGGGGGCUCUCUCCUGGGAUGGCCAUUUACGUGCAGGGGGUGGUGGCCCACCACGCCCAAAGUUUCUGUGUGAACCUGGUGGCGGGCCCCAAGGA
Long non-coding RNA from Neopelma chrysocephalum (saffron-crested tyrant-manakin), 564 nucleotides. RefSeq lists it as uncharacterized. The transcript is spliced from 3 exons. Lineage: Eukaryota; Metazoa; Chordata; Aves; Passeriformes; Pipridae. The record is from RefSeq and is a predicted model, not a curated record.